RNAcentral lists this long non-coding RNA (627 nucleotides) under Amborella trichopoda. RNAcentral describes it as "long non-coding RNA (ATRI_LNC003443)". The record is from RNAcentral. Lineage: Eukaryota; Viridiplantae; Streptophyta; Magnoliopsida; Amborellales; Amborellaceae.
GCUUUUUGAAGAAGAGAAUAUUUCUUGUCGGAGCAUCUUUCUUUAUCCUGGCGGGGUCAUAUCAGUGAAUGAUAAAGCUGAAGAAGAGAAUCGUUUGCAUCUAGCUGGAGAGUAAUAGGACUGUAUCGGGCUGCUUUAAUCUGUGGGCCUUUGGCUGAAGUCAUCCAAUAAGGGAUUGCCUGAUUGGACAGUUUCUUCUGAUGUUGCUGGUGCAAUAGUAUCGGGAGCAAAUACAUGAAGAAGUGUUUGCUCUAUUUCUUCGAAAGUAGCAUUGGGAUGUGUCUGUUUCAGCUUCUUUAGAUAGGCUGAGAAUGUAGGUAGACUGACUGUAUUAUUUGAUGGUGGAUUGAGGAUAUUGGUUUGCGGAGGUAUUCUUUUCAGGGGUAAGGUGGCAGGAUUGGUACUGAAAAUAUCCCACCAUUUGACUUUAAGGGUUUUUCCUAGUUUGAGAAUAUACUCAUAGUUAUUAGUAUUAUUCUCAGAAAUAGAGUAUUCCUAUUUUAAAAUCCAAGGUAUUUGGUAGAUUGCCAUGAAGUAAAGAUGGUAAUCAUCUUGGUCUGUACAAGUAUUAUGUUGUGCAAAUUUUGUCUGUAAAAUUUGGAAAGUAUCAGGUAAUAUUUGGGUCUG